UGCGCAGCUACCAUGCAGUCGAGGGGUAUAUUUCUUCGGAGAUAGAGACCGGCGCACGGGUGCGUAACGCGUAUGCAAUCUACCUUUUACAGAGGGAUAGCCCAGAGAAAUUUGGAUUAAUACCUCAUAGUAUUACGAAAUGGCAUCAUUUUGUAAUUAAAGUCACAACGGUAAAAGAUGAGCAUGCGUCCCAUUAGCUAGUUGGUAAGGUAACGGCUUACCAAGGCUACGAUGGGUAGGGGUCCUGAGAGGGAGAUCCCCCACACUGGUACUGAGACACGGACCAGACUCCUACGGGAGGCAGCAGUGAGGAAUAUUGGACAAUGGGCGCAAGCCUGAUCCAGCCAUGCCGCGUGCAGGAUGACGGUCCUAUGGAUUGUAAACUGCUUUUAUACGAGAAGAAACACUACUUCGUGAAGUAGCUUGACGGUAUCGUAAGAAUAAGGAUCGGCUAACUCCGUGCCAGCAGCCGCGGUAAUACGGAGGAUCCAAGCGUUAUCCGGAAUCAUUGGGUUUAAAGGGUCCGUAGGCGGUUUAAUAAGUCAGUGGUGAAAGCCCAUCGCUCAACGGUGGAACGGCCAUUGAUACUGUUAAACUUGAAUUAUUAGGAAGUAACUAGAAUAUGUAGUGUAGCGGUGAAAUGCUUAGAGAUUACAUGGAAUACCAAUUGCGAAGGCAGGUUACUACUAAUGGAUUGACGCUGAUGGACGAAAGCGUGGGUAGCGAACAGGAUUAGAUACCCUGGUAGUCCACGCCGUAAACGAUGGAUACUAGCUGUUGGAAGCAAUUUCAGUGGCUAAGCGAAAGUGAUAAGUAUCCCACCUGGGGAGUACGUUCGCAAGAAUGAAACUCAG
Molecule: ribosomal RNA, 854 nt
Filed under: Flavobacteriales bacterium Control.15
Lineage: Bacteria; Pseudomonadati; Bacteroidota; Flavobacteriia; Flavobacteriales
Description: bacterial SSU rRNA
Rfam family: Bacterial small subunit ribosomal RNA
Source: RNAcentral